UACGUAGGGGGCAAGCGUUAUCCGGAUUUACUGGGUGUAAAGGGAGCGUAGACGGUACGCCAAGUCUGAAGUGAAAUGCCGCAGCUUAACUGCGGAACUGCUUUGGAAACUGGCGGGCUAGAGUGCGUCAGAGGGAGGUGGAAUUCCACGUGUAGCAGUGAAAUGCGUAGAUAUGUGGAAGAACACCGAUGGCGAAGGCAGCCUCCUGGGACGCAACUGACGCUCAUACACGAAAGCGUGGGGAGCAAACAGG
Molecule: ribosomal RNA, 253 nt
Filed under: uncultured Eubacteriales bacterium
Lineage: Bacteria; Bacillati; Bacillota; Clostridia; Eubacteriales
Description: uncultured Clostridiales bacterium partial 16S ribosomal RNA
Rfam family: Bacterial small subunit ribosomal RNA
Source: RNAcentral